RNAcentral lists this ribosomal RNA (253 nucleotides) under uncultured bacterium. Its description in RNAcentral is "partial 16S ribosomal RNA". It matches the Rfam family "Bacterial small subunit ribosomal RNA", at positions 524 to 776 of the family's 1533-position model. The record is from RNAcentral.
UACAGAGGGUGCGAGCGUUAAUCGGAAUUACUGGGCAUAAAGCGUGCGUAGACGGUUAUUUAAGUCGGGUGUGAAAGCCCCGGGCUCAACCUGGGAAUUGCAUUCGAGACUGAAUAGCUAGGGUACGGUAGAGGGAAGCGGAAUUUCCGGUGUAGCGGUGAAAUGCGUAGAUAUCGGAAGGAACAUCAGUGGCGAAAGCGGCUUCCUGGACCAGUACCGACGUUCAGGCACGAAAGCGUGGGGAGCAAACAGG